UACGAAGGGGGGCUAGCGUUGCUCGGAAUUACUGGGCGUAAAGCGCACGUAGGCGGCUUUCUAAGUCGGGGGUGAAAUCCUGGAGCUCAACUCCAGAACUGCCUUCGAUACUGGAAGCUCGAGUCCGGGAGAGGUGAGUGGAACUGCGAGUGUAGAGGUGAAAUUCGUAGAAUAUUCGCAAGAACACCAGUGGCGAAGGCGGCUCAGCUGGCCCGGUACU
RNAcentral lists this ribosomal RNA (220 nucleotides) under uncultured bacterium. Its description in RNAcentral is "partial 16S ribosomal RNA". It matches the Rfam family "Bacterial small subunit ribosomal RNA", at positions 524 to 741 of the family's 1533-position model. The record is from RNAcentral.